This 490-nucleotide ribosomal RNA is filed under the name uncultured Thermovirga sp. RNAcentral describes it as "bacterial SSU rRNA". It matches the Rfam family "Bacterial small subunit ribosomal RNA", at positions 903 to 1382 of the family's 1533-position model. The record is from RNAcentral. Lineage: Bacteria; Thermotogati; Synergistota; Synergistia; Synergistales; Thermovirgaceae.
CGUAAAGGAAGUGACGGGGCCGCACAAGCGGUGGAGCACGUGGUUUAAUUCGAUGCAAACCGAAGAACCUUACCUGGGUUUGACAUGUACGUGUUACUGAUCUGAGAGGAGAGGGACCCAUGCUUCGGUAUGGGAGCGUACACAGGUGCUGCAUGGCUGUCGUCAGCUCGUGUCGUGAGAUGUUGGGUUAAGUCCCGCAACGAGCGCAACCCUGCAUCCAGUUGCCAUCGGGCGAGCCGGGCACUCUGGAGGGACUGCCGGCGACAAGCCGGAGGAAGGUGGGGAUGACGUCAAGUCGUCAUGGCCCUUAUGUCCAGGGCGACACACGUGCUACAAUGGCCGGCACAGCGGGAAGCGGAGGGGCGACCCUGAGCGGAUCCCUUGAAAGCCGGUCCCAGUUCGGAUUGCAGUCUGCAACUCGACUGCAUGAAGUUGGAAUCGCUAGUAAUCGCGGAUCAGCCAAGCCGCGGUGAAUACGUUCCCGGGCCUU